UAAUUUUUUACUUUUAAACCCAAAUGUGAAACGCAUAGAAACCACCCAAGCAGUUUCACCCAUAUCCAGAUAGCCAUACGAACCAACAUUUGAAAGUUAGGCUUUACGAAUACCGUCAACAAAAUUUCCAGAAGUUUAUCAAAAUCAACAAAAACUCCUACAUAAUAACUCCCAACAAAACAUAAUUUUUGGCUAUUAAAUAAAAAUCUGAUAUAACCUUUUCCCACAUAUAAAUAGAUUUGAAACACAAUUAAAUAUACCCUUUCCACCCCUAAAAUUUCAAAUUGUUACUCAAACUUGCAAUGCUUAUUAUAUAAGCAAAUUCAGAUGCUAAAGUAGCAGCAGGAUAACGUAAUCAACGAUAGCUCAUAAGCCCACAAAGCUGUAAAUAUGGACAUGUGACCGAAAUCAAGUAACAUAAUAUUUUCAAUCUUACACUAUCAAUGUCAAACACCAAAACAGUAUAACCAAUAGCAGCAAGAUAUAUGAUGAAUAUUUACAUCUGAAACAAAUAAAUAAUGAUUUCAACACCCUCAGUCCAUAACAAUGCUAAAAAAUAACAGUACUAAUCCAUCCAUAACUUUGUAACAGUACUUAAAUAUAAACCAACGGAUAACCGAAUCGAAAAAGUGAAAAAUGCACAGUGAAAUGAUUUUCAGUCAAACCCAAAAACUCGACUUAAUCAAACGGAAAGAGUAUAUCACAAACCAACCCACUAUGUAUGAAUCGCAGUAAAUAAAUUUAAAAGGGUAUUUACCGCACGAGACCGACGAUGUGAAUUCAAUCCAUGAUACCGUAACGCCCUUUGAUGAAGCGUAACUCCGCGUAAACUCCGUUAGCUAACCACACACGCAAAACUUUGGGAGCAAACUCGAUAAACUCCCCUUUGCUGAACCGAGCUAAUAAAAAAAUGACGGAUUGGAAGUAACGGCGGAAGGUGCUUCACGAUUAGAAAACCAGAUGCGCAAUGGCGGCGGUCCUGGUCACGAUCUUGUUUGAGGCGACCUUGCCAGAAACGGACAAGUUGAAUCCGUCGGAAAUAGAGUUCGCAGAUGAGAACCGAGUGGGGNNN
This 1072-nucleotide long non-coding RNA is filed under the name Lathyrus oleraceus (garden pea). RNAcentral's name for it is "Pisum sativum (pea) long non-coding RNA (PSAT_LNC038577)". Lineage: Eukaryota; Viridiplantae; Streptophyta; Magnoliopsida; Fabales; Fabaceae. The record is from RNAcentral.